This 496-nucleotide ribosomal RNA is filed under the name uncultured bacterium. RNAcentral describes it as "partial 16S ribosomal RNA". It matches the Rfam family "Bacterial small subunit ribosomal RNA", at positions 30 to 523 of the family's 1533-position model. The record is from RNAcentral.
AUUGAACGCUGGCGGAAUGCUUUACACAUGCAAGUCGAACGGUAGAGGGGGCAACCCCUUGAGAGUGGCGAACGGGUGAGUAAUAUAUCGGAACGUGCCCAGUCGUGGGGGAUAACGUAGCGAAAGUAACGCUAAUACCGCAUACGAUCUAAGGAUGAAAGCGGGGGAUCGCAAGACCUCGCGCAAUUGGAGCGGCCGAUAUCAGAUUAGGUAGUUGGUGGGGUAAAGGCUCACCAAGCCAACGAUCUGUAGCUGGUCUGAGAGGACGACCAGCCACACUGGAACUGAGACACGGUCCAGACUCCUACGGGAGGCAGCAGUGGGGAAUUUUGGACAAUGGACGCAAGUCUGAUCCAGCCAUUCCGCGUGCAGGAUGAAGGCCCUCGGGUUGUAAACUGCUUUUGUACGGAACGAAAAGGUCUCUCUUAAUACGGGGGGCUCAUGACGGUACCGUAAGAAUAAGCACCGGCUAACUACGUGCCAGCCGCCGCAGUAA